Vigna unguiculata (cowpea) is the source of this 577-nucleotide long non-coding RNA. RefSeq lists it as uncharacterized. The record is from RefSeq and is a predicted model, not a curated record. Lineage: Eukaryota; Viridiplantae; Streptophyta; Magnoliopsida; Fabales; Fabaceae.
GAGUUAUAAAAUGAUAAUUUUAAUUUUUAGGGCACGUUUUCUAGAAUGAUCUUGAAUCUUCUUGAUUGAAAAUUGAAAAUUGAAACUAGAAAAUGGGUGUUUAAUUUUUCCACUUUGAAAAAGAAUUUAAUAGAAAAUAGUGAGAGACGAAGACCUGAUGCAUGCCCCUUCAUUGGGUCAAUGUUGGUGCAACUCAACUAACCACCACGCCAUGGCCCGCCACGAGAAAGUUGUUAAAAGGAAGAAGAAGAAGAAACAUAGCAAUAAUGGCUUGCACGGAGUUUUGCAUCGACCUCAUGGGUCUUCUGAUGGCGCUGGUGAUUGCUCUCACUCUCAUAGUUAUCUGCUCCAACCCUAAGAGGCAGGUUGUAGUGUAUCGCUAUGUUUGAUCUUUCUAUCUCAACUUUUCUUAUUCAUUCUUUGCUUCCAUUAUUAGGUCAAUUUUCAUUUUUCUUCCUCUUUUUCUCACUUUUUUCUCAAGAUGUAUGUCCCAUAUUCUUCUUCUCUGCCUCUCAUGGCUGAAUAGAUACUCUGUAUAUACAAUUGAAAUCAAUAAAAGAAACGGUGUUUUUGAUCA